GGGGGGGGGGGGGGGGGGGCGUGGCGGGGGGGGGGGGAACGGCAGCCCGGUCAGGGGUUGCUCUUACGGGUGGCGCGUGGCGGACGGGUGGGGAAUGCAUCGGCAUCUACUUUUUCGUGGGGGAGACGGUCUGGAAACUUACGCUCCUACAGGAUACGACCUCCGGCUUCAAGCAGGGGAUAUUCGGACCUUGCGCGAUUGGCUGACCCGAUGUCGGAUUAGCUAGUUGGCGGGGUUACGGCCCACGCAGGCGACGAUCCGUAGCUGGUCUGAGAGGAUGAUCAGCCACACUGGAACUGAGACACGUGCCAGACUCCUACGGGAGGCAGCAGUGGGGAAUAUUGGACAAUGGGCGCAAGCCUGAUCCAGCCAUACCGCGUGGGUGAAGAAGGCCGUCGGGUUGUAAAGCCCUUUUGUUGGGAAAGAAAAGCAGCAGGUUAAUACCCCGCUGUUCUGACGGUACCCAAAGAAUAAGCACCGGCUAACUUCGUG
Molecule: ribosomal RNA, 492 nt
Filed under: uncultured bacterium
Lineage: Bacteria
Description: partial 16S ribosomal RNA
Rfam family: Bacterial small subunit ribosomal RNA
Source: RNAcentral